This 417-nucleotide unclassified non-coding RNA is filed under the name Hevea brasiliensis (rubber tree). The record is from RNAcentral. Lineage: Eukaryota; Viridiplantae; Streptophyta; Magnoliopsida; Malpighiales; Euphorbiaceae.
GCUUAUCUAAUUUUUUGGCUUGGUCGGCGAUAAAAUUGAUGAGAGGAAAUUAAGAUUUCAAGAUUUUGAUUUAUUCUUGAUUGCAAAAUUGCUGAAUAGGUUCUUGUUUGUUUGGGAAAAAUCCAAGGAUGAAAAUCUCAAUUUGUUUAUUGAAAGAGAUGGAAUGAGAAGAAUUGACUGAUUAAAAUUGAAUCAAAAUUAUUUUGAUAUAAUCCAAUUUAGUUAAGCCUCUUUAGUUCGAUUCGAAACCAAACUAUCAUAUUGCACACCUCUAUUUUUGUAAAAAAGUAAACAAAGGAAUCUCUUUGAUGUAUUUUAACCUCAAACAAAAAAAUGCGAAGAAAGGGAAAAUUCCUUUCCUUUUAGCUUCUACCAUUAGAAAAAUUACAAUAUUUCUCAAUCAACCUCGCCUAGCCU